AGUGAACGCUGGCGGCAGGCCUAAACAUGCAAGUCGAGCGCCCUAGCAAUAGGGAGCGGCGCACGGGUGAGUAACACGUGGGAAUAUGCCUUUUGGUACGGAACAACCUCGGGAAACUGAGGCUAAUACCGUAUGGUCCCUUCGGGGUAAAGAUUUAUCGCCAAAAGAGUAGCCCGCGUUGGAUUAGCUAGUUGGUAAGGUAACGGCUUACCAAGGCGACGAUCCAUAGCUGGUCUGAGAGGACGAUCAGCCACACUGGGACUGAGACACGGCCCAGACUCCUACGGGAGGCAGC
Molecule: ribosomal RNA, 295 nt
Filed under: uncultured bacterium
Lineage: Bacteria
Description: partial 16S ribosomal RNA
Rfam family: Bacterial small subunit ribosomal RNA
Source: RNAcentral